UUUUAUUUAGUUUAUUUAAAACAUUAUAUUUUCAAUAUAAAAAUAAUUUUUUAAAAUUAAUAAAAAUA
Molecule: transfer RNA, 68 nt
Filed under: Micropterix calthella
Lineage: Eukaryota; Metazoa; Arthropoda; Insecta; Lepidoptera; Micropterigidae
Description: tRNA-Glu
Source: RNAcentral